Molecule: transfer RNA, 71 nt
Filed under: Fonsecaea erecta
Lineage: Eukaryota; Fungi; Ascomycota; Eurotiomycetes; Chaetothyriales; Herpotrichiellaceae
Rfam family: tRNA
About the family: Transfer RNA (tRNA) molecules are approximately 80 nucleotides in length.
Source: Rfam by way of RNAcentral
UUCUUAUUAGCUCAAUGGCAGAGCAUGAUAUUUCUAAUAUCUUGAUUUAAGUUCGAAUCUUAAAUAGGAAU